UCAAGGGGUCCCUGGUUCUGUUUUCUUGUUAAUGCUGUAGUUAUUGUUGUUUGUUUGCCUGGUUAUACUAGUAAAGAACUGUUAUUCCUACCCCCAAAUCUCUGCCUAAAGGCCCCUUGAUUUCAAAAUUAUAAUAAUUCGGAGGGAGGGGGUCUACAUUCUUUCAUCCCACGGGAGGCUCCUGCUCUCCCUAGCAGACACCUGUCUUCUAGAACCAAGACAGAGUCCUGGGAUUCUCCUGAGGCACCCAAGCAGUUGAUGAGGUUGGGUGUUGAAAAGGUCCCAAUUGAAUGGCUGCUCUUAUGAGCAGAGUCUCACCCAUGGUAAGGAGAAGCAGUGAAGGACACAACUCCGCAGUGUUGAAUCCUCCAGGCAGUAGUGAUGCGUGGAAUAAAAGGAACCCUAUAACUCGCAGAGUAGUUAUAAGAGCGGGUAUGAAUUUAUUCAGCACUGCGGUGCAUGGGGGAUAUCUCCUCCAAGAAGCAUGCACCCUUUUUUGAUUGGGUUUCCCCUUUUUAUCCUUUACAGACCAGGUUUACACAAUACUCCUAAUACAUAUUAAUUUUCUAACCCCGCCUGUCUUCAUUUCAUAUUACAAUUAGCCCCGUGCCCCUUUCAGUCCUUUGGUCGCCUUUUUAGGAACUUUAAAUCCGUUUCUGUUUCUUCCGGCUUAGGGUUUGAGGAAUCUCCUUUAUCCUGUGGUGCCUUUGUCUUUGCAUCUUGCUUGUGUAUUCCAGCUCCUUAUCUCAUCUUGCAGUCUGGCUAUUUUUCCUGUUCUUGUGGAUUAGGGUGUCAGGGUCUGGUUUUGUAAGACACCCCUUUUAGUUAAGCAUUUUUCUUUGUUUCAGUAGCAGUCCGGCACCAAAACUAUGACCACCUGACCUCUGAUCCUAAGAGCAUGAGUGUGAGAGAGGGCUGAGCCCAGGCCCUGAUAUGCAGCUAAGUCUUGGUAUAUCUGUGCUUUGCAAGAGAAAAUUCCCCCCCAGCUACCAAGCUCACUCUCCAGCUAAGAGACUGCUGCCAACUACACCCCUUGCCCCUUCCUCCUCAUCUUGGCCACAUCUUUUCUCUGUCUUAAGUAUUGUUUUAAGUAUUGUCAUUCUCAUCUCUUAGGCAACAAAUGGGAGAAAGAUUCCCUGAGAGAAAGAAAAAAAAAUCUUUUUUUCAAAAAAAAAAAAACAACAAACCUAACUUCCAACAAGUGUGCUGGGCUUGUUGGUAGGUGGCAGUGUUCUAAGAGGUGUUUGUGAGCUCUUAUUGGUUGGGAAUCAACAGUCUUAGGUAAGAAGGAAGUCAUCUUGGUUAAAAAGUGUGCAGCAAGCAUGUAGAGGAGGUAGCUAAGAGGUGGUGCAUAUUGUCAUUUGUUUGAACUGAAGUGAUGUGGUUUACACAUGCUGUUUUGUGGGGCUAUAUUUGCUGUAGCCCAAAAAUAUUUGUAUUGUUAUUUUGUUUGUUUUCUAGAAGCUUCCUCUGCUUUGGAAUCCACUUCAGGGUGACCAGCUUCUUCAAAAGGAUAGCUUUUUGCUGUUAGUUCAUUUGAGCGAAAAUUCUUAAUGCACGGGCGAAUAAUUUGUGAAGUUUUCCAGUGCAGCUAUGAAAAAGGAUUGUACUUUUCACAUGCUGAGGAAGUUAGUGAGUGGAGUCUUGGCUGACCGGCAGGAGUUUCGCUAACAACACUGAAAUAUGCACAUCUCAGAAAGAGAGUUCCUGAGUCUGUGAGCAUGUGAGCUUCAGAGGAGGAGGAGGCAACUGUUUACAACUGUGCCUUAGCUGACUGCUUCUGGAAUAACUUGUGUUCUGCAGUCAUAUACACUGAACAUGUUAGAAAUGCUCCUCACUGGUGAUUUUUGUGGAGAGCUAUGGUACCAUGUUGCAAUAAGCCAUAGUUACUAGUAUAACUUGUAAAUGCAUUGCUCUUUUGCAUUAUCUGGUUCUGAAGCCUUCAUGCUGACACAAAAAUGACUGUUUAUUAAUAAAGUAUUUAUAAUUUGGUUGGUAUAAGAUGCAGAAAGAGACAGACUUACAUUAUUCUUUUCCAUGGAAAUUAGAAUUUCUUUGAAAAUUGAUACUAUUGUUGGACAGAAAAAAGAAGGAUACCUUAGAUAACAAAAUUUUAAUUGCUUGUUCCCAUUACUUCAGUUGCAUGUAUUGUCCUAAAUGACCUCACAUUUAUACAUCUGGGCUGUGAAACGUUUCUUUUAAAUUUUUAUUUAUUUAUUUAAUCUCUUACAUUUUAACCAGGGAAAGAUUUUUUUUUUUUUUUUUAAAUUUUCACCAUGCAUACUUAAAUGGAUGAGGAAAUGUGCUGUAUUCUUACUAGUACUUGUUGGACUGCUACUUGUUGUUGCAUCUGCUUGAUUACUUGUUGCUGUGGCAUUUUGGUUUCUUCAGCACUGAGCUCCUUGGGAUACUCCCUUACAAGGAGUCUCCUUUAUCUCAGUUCUGUUUCAGGAAAUAUUCUCCAAAGGCUCAUUUGCUUCUUGUUUCUUGUGCGUUUAUUCAUAUAUAAUUAAAAGACUUGGGAGGUCUUCCCCAGACCUUUUUGCACAAGUCCAACUCAC
This is a long non-coding RNA of Parus major (Great Tit), 2561 nucleotides long. RefSeq lists it as uncharacterized. The transcript has 2 exons. The record is from RefSeq and is a predicted model, not a curated record. NCBI's taxonomy places the organism in Eukaryota, Metazoa, Chordata, Aves, Passeriformes, Paridae.